This 497-nucleotide ribosomal RNA is filed under the name uncultured bacterium. Its description in RNAcentral is "partial 16S ribosomal RNA". It matches the Rfam family "Bacterial small subunit ribosomal RNA", at positions 28 to 507 of the family's 1533-position model. The record is from RNAcentral.
GACGAACGCUGGCGGCGUGCCUAAUACAUGCAAGUUGAGCGCUGAAGGUUGGUACUUGUACCGACUGGAUGAGCAGCGAACGGGUGAGUAACGCGUGGGGAAUCUGCCUUUGAGCGGGGGACAACAUUUGGAAACGAAUGCUAAUACCGCAUAAAAACUUUAAACACAAGUUUUAAGUUUGAAAGAUGCAAUUGCAUCACUCAAAGAUGAUCCCGCGUUGUAUUAGCUAGUUGGUGAGGUAAAGGCUCACCAAGGCGAUGAUACAUAGCCGACCUGAGAGGGUGAUCGGCCACAUUGGGACUGAGACACGGCCCAAACUCCUACGGGAGGCAGAAGUAGGGAAUCUUCGGCAAUGGGAGAAAGUCUGACCGAGCAACGCCGCGUGAGUGAAGAAGGUUUUCGGAUCGUAAAACUCGGUUGGUAGAGAAGAACGUUGGUGAGAGUGGAAAGCUCAUCAAGUGACGGUAACUACCCAGAAAGGGACGGCUAACUACGUG